GCAUUUCAAGUUGAGUUAAGGGCAGAACUGUUAAGUUAUUAUUAAAAAAAAUAUGCACUUAUAAGGCAAUAAAUUAAAAGCACGAAAGCAAGUGUUUAAAAUGACAGACGUGUGGCAGUUGGUAUUGCCUGAAAGUCAAAAAAUUUAAAUUGAAAUAAUUCUUGCGUUUGUAUAAAAAAUCAUCAAAAAAUCUACAUACAAAAGCUGUGAAAUAAAUUACAAAAGGCUCAAUUGCUAAGAGCCAAAAACAGCCGCCUGGCACGUCAAACGUUGAAUGAACCCAACUACAGUGCCAAAUAUGGCAUAUCUUACCAACUAAAGUGAGUAAAGUGUGUGGUGUGUGUGUGCGACUACAAUUCGCCAAUAUUAAAUGAGUAGUCCCAAAUUAUAAGUAAACAUAAAAGCGCAAUAACAAAUGCAAUAACAACAGCGACAACAACAUAGCAGGCAAUAACGAUCAAUCAAAUCAACGGCAUACGCCUCGUCAUCGGCGGCAUUACGCUCGAAGUCUCCAGUGCCUCCAAUUGCAGAAGUCUUUAAAAUUCAAAAUACGCAGGAGCAAGCCAAAAACUAAAAACAAUAGCAACACAAAGCUGUUAACAAAAAAAGACGCCAAAACAAUACGCGCUCUCGGGUCAUCAAAUUACCAAAACGGAAACACAUACAAAAUAAUUGAAAAAACGAAAAAAAACAUAGUUAUGGAGAUUAGAAGCAGCACCAGAAGUGUGUUUACCCACUGAACGCCGAACGCUGGUGGUUUGCUAAGCAACCAAUAAGUUUCAGCGGUUACCACUUGUCUGCCUAUGGAGCGUACUUAUGUA
Long non-coding RNA from Anastrepha obliqua, 821 nucleotides. RefSeq lists it as uncharacterized. The transcript has 2 exons. The record is from RefSeq and is a predicted model, not a curated record. NCBI's taxonomy places the organism in Eukaryota, Metazoa, Arthropoda, Insecta, Diptera, Tephritidae.